This 402-nucleotide ribosomal RNA is filed under the name uncultured bacterium. RNAcentral describes it as "bacterial SSU rRNA". It matches the Rfam family "Bacterial small subunit ribosomal RNA", at positions 28 to 433 of the family's 1533-position model. The record is from RNAcentral.
GACGAACGCUGGCGGCGUGCUUAACACAUGCAAGUCGAGCGGUAAGGCCCUUUCGGGGGUACACGAGCGGCGAACGGGUGAGUAACACGUGGGUGACCUGCCUUUAGCUCUGGGAUAAGCCUGGGAAACUGGGUCUAAUACCGGAUAUGACCCUAUGGCGCAUGUUGUGGGGUGGAAAGCCUUGUGCGGCUAGGGAUGGGCCCGCGGCCUAUCAGCUUGUUGGUGGGGUGAUGGCCUACCAAGGCGACGACGGGUAGCCGGCCUGAGAGGGCGACCGGCCACACUGGGACUGAGACACGGCCCAGACUCCUACGGGAGGCAGCAGUGGGGAAUCUUGCGCAAUGGGCGAAAGCCUGACGCAGCGACGCCGCGUGAGGGAUGACGGCCUCGGUUGUAACGUAC